Molecule: non-coding RNA, 76 nt
Organism: Podarcis lilfordi (Lilford's wall lizard)
Lineage: Eukaryota; Metazoa; Chordata; Lepidosauria; Squamata; Lacertidae
Source: the annotation of a GenBank genome assembly
UCAUCGGCUGGGCUCGGUCGGUAGAGCAUGAGGUUCGUAAUCUCAGGGGCAUGGGUCCUGAGCCCCACGCUGUGCA